This is an RNA transcript of Oncorhynchus keta (chum salmon), 1364 nucleotides long. It is a transcript of the gene named centrosomal protein of 70 kDa-like, with no coding region annotated. The record is from RefSeq and is a predicted model, not a curated record. The transcript is spliced from 6 exons. NCBI's taxonomy places the organism in Eukaryota, Metazoa, Chordata, Actinopteri, Salmoniformes, Salmonidae.
AUUUGGGAACUGACAUUUUUGGAGAAACCAAUCAUCACAACAAGCACAUACAUGGUGCAUAUGUUAUGGCCAAACGUUAUUGUAGGAAACCUAUCUUUUGUUUUGUGGAACAUGCAAAACUUGCCUAACUAGUUAGCAACGUAGAUUGCUAGCUAGCUAACAGUAGAUAGUUAUCAUCUAGGUAGCCUAUGUGUUCAACAUCACUGCUACCUCAGCUAGCGAGUAAACUAACCUAUUUUCACUCCUGCAGGUGGAGAAGUGAUGACACAGGUAUUACAACUAUGUGUGUUUGUGUGUUGUCAUGGUGGUCUCAAAGGGGGACCAAGUAAUUCGAUAACCCCAUAUAACGUUGACUGGGGGGAGGGUACAGUAGGAGGCUGACACACCGACAGCCUUCUGUCAAAUAGAAGAUGGAGCGAGAGGAACGCUUAGAAUUUCUUUAUCUCGUCAGGAACAGACAGGGUGGUGUGUAUAGCCUAAAGUGUAUAACACACUGAGGAAAUGGAUAGGGAGAACACAAAUGCUGUGUUUCAUUCAAGAGACGAGACAUACGUGUUUCUGUGGACCUACAGCCUGUUUCAGCAGGAGCAGACAGAGUGGGAUGCUGUGAACAGUCUCCUCCAGCACCAUGGGUUCAAGCCGGUUCACUUUGCCGAUCCCGUCGCGAAUAAGAACCUUGCAGACUUGGAGAGGAGACAUACCUUGAUUCAGGAGCUCAUUGAGUCCAACAACCAACUUAAGGUGUUGGAUGUAAUUGACAUCUAUGAGGCCCAAAUGGAACAGCUCUGCGAUGAUGUCGAGUAAAUAUUGUCCCUCAAAGCAGAUUCUGGGGAUCACAAACAUCUGACCAAUCGCAGAGCACCACCGGGGUCUCCCCCAAUCACAAAGCUCUCCUGAAGUCCUAUCAGGAACAGUUAAUGGACACCAAAGCUCAGAGGGAGGAGCUUAGGAAUGAAAUUCAGCAGUUGGAGCAAGACUUAGAAUCUAGACCCACAGUGAAAGAGCUGAAGUCCUACAAAGAACAACUGAGAUGCAUGGACAGACUUAUUCAGCAGAGUAACAUGAAGUGGGGAAAAAUGACUGUCAUUCUUCUUGGAUAUGACAAGCACCACAGCUUAACCUCCUAGUUAACCCCUUCCUUACCUUAACCUAGAAUGCUGCCUGUCCUAUUGGUAGUCAUAUCUCCUUUACCUCCACCCCAGGUCUGCUCAGGAGUUUAAAGAAGAGGGGAGGGCUGCUCUGAGUAACCAGGAGGUGGCGAAGGCAAGGGCCUUGGCUGCCAGACACGAGAAGGUACUCCGUUUAUCUCCCCUCGUCUAAAGCGGGAGCGAGUAUCAACUCACUUUACAUUUUUGAUUCAGACU